Molecule: long non-coding RNA, 1282 nt
Organism: Lonchura striata (white-rumped munia)
Lineage: Eukaryota; Metazoa; Chordata; Aves; Passeriformes; Estrildidae
Source: Ensembl
UGUGUCACCUUCUAUGGCACCCGGGUGGCACUUGGGUGGCACCUGUGUCACCUCCUGUGGCACCUGUGUCACCUGGGUGGCACCUGUGGCAUCCCCUGUGUCACCUGUGUCGUGUGUGGCACCUCCUGUGGCAUGUGGGUGGCACCUGUGGCACCUCCUGUGUGACGUGUGUCACCUCCUGUGACACCUGGAUCACCUGAGUGGCACUUGGGUGGCACCUGUGUCACCUCCUGUGGCACCUGAGUGGCACAUGGGUGGCACCUGUGCUGUGUGUGUCACCUCCCUGUCCUUCCAGUGCCACCCCCAAUGUCCCCCCAGUGUCCCCUCAGUGUCCCUGUCCCUGCAGUGUCCCUGUCCUUGUCCCCGCAGUGUCCCCAAUGUCCCCUCAGUGUCACUGUCACUGUCCCCAGUGUCCCCUCAGUGUCCCCAAUGUCCCCUCAGUGUCCCUGUCCCUGUCCCCGCAGUGUCCCCGACUGCCACCUCGUCACUGUGGAUGUCCCCUCAGUGUCCCUGUCCCUGUCCCUGCAGUGUCCCCAAUGUCCCCUCAGUGUCCCCAAUGUCCCCUCAGUGUCACUGUCCCUGCAGUGUCCCUGUCCUUGUCCCCCCAGUGUCCCCAAUGUCCCCUCAGUGUCACUGUCACUGUCCCCAAUGUCCCCUCAGUGUCCCCAAUGUCCCCUCAAUGUCCCUGUCCCUGUCCCCGCAGUGUCCCCAAUGUCCCCUCAGUGUCCCUGUCCCUGUCCCCGCAGUGUCCCCGACUGCCACCUCGUCACCGUGGAUGUCCCCUCAGUGUCCCCAAUGUCCCCUCAGUGUCCCUGUCCUUGUCCCCGCAGUGUCCCCAAUGUCCCCUCAGUGUCCCCAAUGUCCCCUCAAUGUCCCUGUCCCUGUUCCCGCAGUGUCCCCAAUGUCCCCUCAGUGUCACUGUCACUGUCCCUGUCCCCAGUGUCCCCUCAGUGUCCCCAAUGUCCCCUCAAUGUCCCUGUCCCUGUCCCCGCAGUGUCCCCAAUGUCCCUGUCCCUGUCCCCACAGUGUCCCCAAUGUCCCUGUCCCUGCAGUGUCCCCAAUGUCCCCUCAGUGUCCCCAAUGUCCCUGUCAUUGUCCCCGCAGUGUCCCCGACUGCCACCUCGUCACCGUGGAUGUCACCGCUGUCCCCGAGGGUGGCCGCGCCCUCACCGUCACCAGCACCCGCCGCAACCCCGCCGAGCCCGGCCACGUCACGGGCAGCGCCACCCGCCACAGCUUCUGGAGCAGCGUGCUGGGUGUGGCCCUGUCCCCUGUGCCACCC